GAUGAACGCUGGCGGCGUGCCUAAUACAUGCAAGUCGAGCGAACAGACGAGGAGCUUGCUCCUCUGACGUUAGCGGCGGACGGGUGAGUAACACGUGGAUAACCUACCUAUAAGACUGGGAUAACUUCGGGAAACCGGAGCUAAUACCGGAUAAUAUAUUGAACCGCAUGGUUCAAUAGUGAAAGACGGUUUUGCUGUCACUGAUAGAUGGAUCCGCGCCGCCUUAGCUAGUUGGUAAGGUAACGGCUUACCAAGGCAACGAUGCGUAGCCGACCUGAGAGGGUGAUCGGCCACACUGGAACUGAGACACGGUCCAGACUCCGACGGGAGGCAGCAGUAGGGAAUCUUCCGCAAUGGGCGAAAGCCUGACGGAGCAACGCCGAGUGAGUGAUGAAGGUCUUCGGAUCGUAAAACUAUGUUAUUAGGGAAGAACAAAUGUGUAAGUAACUAUGCACGUCUUGACGGUACCUAAUCAGAAAGCCACGGCUAACUACGUG
RNAcentral lists this ribosomal RNA (497 nucleotides) under uncultured bacterium. RNAcentral's name for it is "partial 16S ribosomal RNA". It matches the Rfam family "Bacterial small subunit ribosomal RNA", at positions 28 to 507 of the family's 1533-position model. The record is from RNAcentral.